AAGAGAUACCAGAAGGGAAACUGGGAAGCUGGAGGAGAAGGGGAGAGGACCAUGCCUUCCCUAGACAAAAGACAAAGCCUUUUGCUUCUGCUAUAAAUAGGACACCCUCAGGAAAGCUGGAGCUUCUAAUUCUUCCAGUGAUGGAACUCAGCAUAUGUCUGAGGAGCAGAGAAUUCAGAAGCUCCCAUGGGCCUCCCACAGCUGGAAUCUAAAACAACCACAGAAGUCUCAGAAAAGAGAAUAUAAAAGCAUACAACAAAAUAAAGGACUCAUAAGAGUACAGGGAUCACAUACAUGAAGUUGAACAAUGUUCGGUUUUAAUUCUUCACAAUUAUCAUUUGUAAGAUUGUAGGCAUUGGCCAUGGAACCCCAAGUCUCCAGCCAUCUCCAGUUCUCUGCAGGCACUGAAUGUAUGUGCUAAGGCAAGCCAUCUGCAGCUGCUGCUUGAAGGGAGGUACAGAUACAACAGUUGGAAACCUUGGUCACCACAGCAGAGGUGUGGGGCCAAUCCACAAUGCAGUUGGAGCAUGUUAACUUAUGGAUGAAAUGACAGAGAAGACACAGCUGCUUCAGCGCUCUCUCCAUGCUUGCAGGAAACCAUCUACCACCACUCAGGUUUCCAGCGGAGCCCAUCCGAGCAGCACAGCUGCCACUGGGUACCACAACCCAUGUUGCAGCCACGUGGCUGGCCCAGAAGCAGCAGGGAAUGAAGGCUCACUCACCUCGGGAUCCUCUUCGUAAUGCCAGUUGUCGGUUCUAACUGAGGUGCGAGGGGAGUUGGUGGGCAAGUGGCAGUUGGCUUAGAAUUACAAUCAGGAGAAAGGAAUGUUCUUUUGCUAAUGAAAGAGGAGAAAUUGGCAAUGUUCCAGUCCCAAGUCUAGGCCUCGGGAGGCUUGCAUUUUGCCAAAUUAUGAUCCCCUUCUCAGCUGCUGCUCUUUCAGCAUGGACGCUAUCACAAACACAUGGAAAAUGGCCUUCCCUAGUUAAUCCCAGCCAAACCAAACCCAGGUGCAAACUAGAGCCACACAGCCAAACCCACCCUACACCAACCAUUCCCAGCUGAACUGUAUCCAUGAGAAUAAAUUAUUGUGGUUUUUCAGGCAAAAAAAAAAAAAAAA
RNAcentral lists this long non-coding RNA (1118 nucleotides) under Homo sapiens (human). RNAcentral describes it as "uncharacterized LOC101927948 (LOC101927948)". Lineage: Eukaryota; Metazoa; Chordata; Mammalia; Primates; Hominidae. The record is from RNAcentral.